This 483-nucleotide long non-coding RNA is filed under the name Gadus morhua (Atlantic cod). RNAcentral describes it as "lncRNA (ENSGMOG00000033796.1)". The record is from RNAcentral. Lineage: Eukaryota; Metazoa; Chordata; Actinopteri; Gadiformes; Gadidae.
AUGACACCGCAGGGCCCUCGGGGGCCCGGCCCCAGGAAUUGGACUGGACUGAUCUGCUGCCCACAGGACGGCUGCUAUCGGCUCAUCUCUGCUGAGAAUGAGAUCCCUCAACCGACCUUCACCAGAUCCCUAUCUCCGUGCUCCAGAGGACUGCACCCAGGCAUCAGACCGUACGGGUCUAUCUACAGUGGACAUCACUCCUCCCCGGGGACCCGUUCUGAUGGGAAGAUCUGGUUCCACACCAGCACUAAACCCCGGCCCCCAGGAAGCUUCUGGGUCCCUCUUGAUUGAAAACCGCCCGGAGAGGUAUCACUUCACACGCCGGAUGCACGAACAGAGUGACAAACAGACGUAGCCGUAACACCUCGCGACGGAAUAUGUUGUUUCAUUUAUGUGUGUUUAUUUUUCGCCGUUUCAUUUUGUACAGUAUCCAGAUAUUGUCUGGAUAGGUUUGAUUUUUAUUGUUAUUUAAUUCCUUUUGCG